CUAUACAUGCCAUAUAAACCAUAAUGUACGUUUCAAAGACUAUCGAAAUGAGUUGGAUAGUGUGACCUGUUGUGCUGAUCCAAUCUCCCGACUUGACGAUAAUCUGCAAAGACAUUAAACAAUACAAAUAAGCUUAAUGAAGCUUAGUAAGUUCGAUAGGUUAAACAUAAAUCUUACCGAACCUACUAUAACAAAUCAAUUAAGUAAAUCAUUCAAUGUACACUUCCUGCCAAUCACAACCCCAAUUGAUGAAUACACUUAUUUCAGAUCAAUUCCAACAUUAAAUAACAAAUCUUCCAAUUCCAAUUAUAUAAGUCACUUACCAAAUCGAAGAACGGCUUACGAAUAAGAGUACAUCAUUUUCAGAAGCCCGAAGGCUGAGCAGAAGCUCAUAAGAGCUAAACAGAAACCCGUAAAGGUUAAACAGAAGCUCGUAAGAGCUGAACGGAAACCCAUAAGGGUUAAACAGAAGCUCAAAAUAGCUGAACAGAAACUCAUAUGAGUUAAACAGAAGCUCAUGAAAGCUAAAUGAAAAUUAAACACGAAAUUUCGCAACAAAUGCUGAACCUCGGUUAACUUGGGUAAUUUGACACAUUUUCCUCCAAUACCGUCAAUUCGCCGAAUGUCGAAUGUACUCAAAUCCCACGUUCCAUUCGUUUCGAACAUUCAAUUUAAUUUCAUAACUUUAACAAUAUUUCAUUUUCAACAAUAGAUAUGAAUAAAUACAUAAUAUCAUUCAUCAAUCUAAUAUAUAUAUUAAAGUUUAACUAUACGAACUUACCUGGAUUAAAUCGUAAGAUUUGCAGAAGUUCAAAGACUAUUUUGCUAAUUUUCUUUUUUCAAUAAUAUCUACGAGCUCUUGAUCUAAAAUAUAAAUUAUAAAAUUACUCAUUUAUUAGCAUAUAUUCCAAUUCCAAUUCACUUCACAAUUAAUACCCCUCAAUUUUUUGAAAUUACACAAUUACCUUAACUUUUACAAAUUUUGCAAUUUAAUCCCUUAAUUAAUUAGUCCACUAAAUGAACUAAUCUUUCUCAAUUCAUAAUUUAUCUAAAUAUUCUAGGCUAUCAUACAGCCCUUAAUAAACAGAAAUUAAUAGCAAACCCUAGUAUUUAACCUUUUUACAAUUUGGUCCUAAAAUCUAUAUCUAUCAAAAUCACCUUAUAAAAUCAUUAUACAACAAAAUUAAAGCUCCAAAUCCAUGUUAUUUCAUCAAAAAAAUCCAGUAUUCAUCAAUGGCAUCUUUCAAAUUUUCCAAUAAAAUCAAAAACUAAUAAAAUAGUUAUUGGACCUAAUUGUAAAAGUCUUAAAAUAUAAAAAUUUCAAAAAAAAGACAAGAAUUGAACUUACUUGAAGCAAAAAUAUGAACCGGCAUUUUUGGACUAAAGAUUGAUGAAGAAUUGACUAGAAACUCUUUUAAUUUCUAAUUUGUUUUCAUUAAAUUUACAGUUUUGCCAUUAAUUUUCAUUAAUUUAUUAUUUUUUAACACCUAUGUCGCCUCAGCCAUUACCUUUAGGAUUAUUUACUCUUUAAAUCCUCCCUAUUUACCAUUUAAGUCAUUUAAUCACUAUUUCUUUAAUUAGCAAGUUUUUAAAUUUUUUCAAUUUAGUAAUUUUUAAUUAAUUAACUAUCAAAACAUUAAAAUUUUCUAACGAAACUUUAAUACCACCUUAAUGACACUCCGUAAAUAUUUUAUCGAUUUAUAGAAAUGAGGUCUCAAUACCUCAUUUUCUAAACCACUUGACCUAAUAAAUCCUUAUAAAACACAAAUUACUAAUACAAAAAUCUUUCUAAAAUCACAUUUGACUUGUAAAUACUAAAGCUUAAAAUUUGCGAGCUUACUCGUCAGAUUUGGCGGUCUUGAACCACUAUUUUCCUACACCACUGAAAAUCGAGUUGUUACAGUAGAUAAUAAAUUUGCGAACACACACAUAAAAUGUUGAUUUCCACAGUGUCAAAACAAGAAUUCACAAAUAAAUUAGAAAGAUGCGGAACCCACACCUGAUUCGCGA
This 2010-nucleotide long non-coding RNA is filed under the name Gossypium barbadense (sea-island cotton). RNAcentral describes it as "long non-coding RNA (GBAR_LNC019547)". Lineage: Eukaryota; Viridiplantae; Streptophyta; Magnoliopsida; Malvales; Malvaceae. The record is from RNAcentral.